Molecule: long non-coding RNA, 315 nt
Organism: Suricata suricatta (meerkat)
Lineage: Eukaryota; Metazoa; Chordata; Mammalia; Carnivora; Herpestidae
Exons: 3
Source: RefSeq, a predicted model, not a curated record
UCACAAGAGGACUAAAGAGCAUGCAAUGAGAGCCUGGGAGGUGAAAAUUACACCCGGCCAGCAUGCAAGCAAUGCAUUCUUAGCAAUGGCAGCAGGAGGGACAUCCAAGAGCUGUGUAUAAGAUGACAGGAUACUAAGGUAAGCGGACUCGUUGGAAGGUUUCAGAAAGGCAGAUGGGAGGUCCCUGAGCAGGUCGUCAUUCCUGAUGCUCCUGGGGGAAAGGAAGCUGGCGCUGCUCUGACCGACGCCCCCGAAGACCGCCACCUCUGCAUCCUGGAGAGAGCCUUUCUGGUGGCACCGGUAUCGGGUAUCCAG